GAUGAACGCUAGCUACAGGCUUAACACAUGCAAGUCGAGGGGAAACGGCAUUUAGUGCUUGCACCGAAUGGACGUCGACCGGCGCACGGGUGAGUAACGCGUAUCCAACCUUCCCAUUACUUUGGGAUAACCUGCCGAAAGGCAGACUAAUACCUCAUAGUCUUCGAUGACGGCAUCAGAUUUGAAGUAAAGAUUUAUCGGUUAUGGAUGGGGAUGCGUCUGAUUAGCUUGUUGGCGGGGUAACGGCCCACCAAGGCAACGAGCAGUAGGGGUUCUGAGAGGAAGGUCCCCCACAUUGGAACUGAUACACAGUCCAAACUCCUACGGGAGGCAGCAUUGAGGAAUAUUGGUCAAUGGACGAAAGUCUGAACCAGCCGAGUAGUGUGCAGGAUUACCGCCCUGUUGUGUUGUAAACUGCUUGUGUUGGGGAUAAAGCAAUCACUUGUGAUUGUUUGCAGGUUCCAUACGAAAAUGACCUGUUAAUUCCUUUCUAUCUGGCGCUGGUUUGCGGAAGGUUCUGGUUUUAUCGGGAUUUGUGGUGGUUUAAAGUGAUCGUAGUUGGUUGUUUGUUUGUGUUUUGUGAUGUGGUGGGUUGAUGUGUGUGUUUGUGGGUGUGUGUGGGU
This 623-nucleotide ribosomal RNA is filed under the name Streptococcus anginosus. RNAcentral's name for it is "bacterial SSU rRNA". It matches the Rfam family "Bacterial small subunit ribosomal RNA", at positions 28 to 682 of the family's 1533-position model. The record is from RNAcentral. Lineage: Bacteria; Bacillati; Bacillota; Bacilli; Lactobacillales; Streptococcaceae.